GUUUUUCCACAUUUAUUGAUCUGUUGUCAUUACAAUUUACAGAACACAAGUCUCAGUGGAGACUUACACACCCCGCAAGAGACAAUAAAACACUGGACAUACUGAAUGCUAACACAAAAGAGGCAUAUAGCCAUGUAUUCACUUCCUCCUUUGGGAAGAUCAAAUCACAACCUGUUGUACCACCUCUCUGUAUAUUAAGCUUUAGUACACAGGGAACAAGCAGAUACUGUGAAAAGAUGUUCUGAGGAGACUGAAGAGGGUGUGAAGGACUGUUUUGAUUCAACCACACUCAGAAAAAUUAUGGUUCUUAAAUGGUUCUUCAGAUGUCUUCAUGGUUCUUUAAAGAACCAUCAUACGUCAAAGAACCUUUUUAUUUUGUAGAUGGUUCUUUAGGUAUUACAAAUGGUUCUUUAAAGAACAGAAGGUUCUUCAUCCUUAGCUAUCUAAGUUUGAUGGUGUAAAAUGGCAUAAAUAUUUAUUCACUAUAAUGAGGGUGUGAAUUAUACUGUGUGUUUUGUUUGUGUGCAUGUGUGUGCGAAGGGGGAGAGCGGGUUACCUGGCAAUUACCCUUUAAGGGCAGAUGGUAGGAAACUGAAUAUUCAAAUAAAAGUUAGAAAUACUUGCUUAAAAAUAUACCGGUGGCAGGGGUGGGGGCCAAAGCCUAAAGACCCUACCCCCCCACACCCCUAACCCCGUAAACUCACUGAUCACAAAUAAUGUGGUAAUAGAAUAUGGAAUUUAUUAUUAAGACAUUUAUGAAUAUGAUGAGUUAACAAACAGUAGACACAAUACACACAUCCAAAUACUGUACCUUUUUUUUUUUUGCUAAGUGAAUGGGUGAAUGACUGAAUGUAGUGUAAAGCGCUUUGGGGUCCUUAGGGACUAAGUAAAGCGCUAUACAAAUGCAGGCCAUUUAGUUUUAAAUUUUAAUAAAGUAUUACUAUUUUCUGCUUCAAGGCAUUACUUUUGAGAUUAUUAUAUGUAUUAGAAAAUAUAGCAUAAUGAUAAUACUAGUUAUUGUAAACUUUACAAACCACCCAGCAGUAUGUAAAGUCAAAUUAUAAAAUACAAGUAAAUAACAAUUACACAACAGAAUGUCAAUGUGUUCAUUACCGACACACUUAGCUUUGACAAAGCACGCUGCUUAGGGUAAAGGAUCUCAGUAGUUGUUUAUCACUGAGCAAUUUGUUAAUAUGUGUUUUGAGCCAAAUAAAUGACAGGGAGAGAGAGAGAGAGAGAGUGACGUUAGGACACGUCGUACUAUGGCAACCUCCCGAAGGUGGUGGGGGGGGAAUCAUUGGAAUGUGCAUGCGCAGACAGAUUGCGCGACCGGCGGGCCUUGAACUUUGUAAGGGAAAAAACACUUUCUCACGGACGGUGACAGCGAAACGGAUAACAGUCUUGAGUACCUGCUGGUCUUUGAAGCUCUGGAUUCUGGGACUGUUGGAAAAGCUCCAACAAAAUGAGGAAGAGGAGGGAGAGAAACACACUUAGAUUGAAUUACAAUUGGAUGGAAGUCGAGGACAAGGAGAAGGAAGCUUAGGAUGAGGAGGAAGAAAAGCAGCAGGAGCAUCUUUAGGUAUCUCUAUGAUGUCAUUGAGGUUUGUUUCAUAAUAUUGUCCUCUCACAAAGAAAGAUGACUUGUUUUAGUUCACCUACUUCCUGUAUUAAGUAGUGAUUUGCAAAACGUUGUGGAAAACCACGGAGCAGGCACGUAUAGCGCACCUGCAGGUAAAUGAACAUCAAAUCUCUAAGACUAAAAUCUGUAUUAUACUUUUAGUCUUAAGAACAUAUGUUGUAUAUUUAUCAUAGAGCUGGGAGAUAAAACGAUAACGAUAUGUAUUGCGAAAUAACUUUUUCUCGAUAGAAAAAUUAAACUAUUGCGAUAGGCCUCAUCUGUCUUGUCCUCUUAAAAAAAAAAAAAAAAAGAACAGCCAAUCCAAAUUAAGUAGCGCAGAGCCGAACCAAUCACAGCCGCAGCGUCACGUCACGUGACUUGUUACGUACAGCACAAGCG
Oreochromis aureus is the source of this 2017-nucleotide long non-coding RNA. The record is from Ensembl. Lineage: Eukaryota; Metazoa; Chordata; Actinopteri; Cichliformes; Cichlidae.